Molecule: ribosomal RNA, 253 nt
Filed under: uncultured bacterium
Lineage: Bacteria
Description: partial 16S ribosomal RNA
Rfam family: Bacterial small subunit ribosomal RNA
Source: RNAcentral
GACGUAGGAUGCAAGCGUUGUCCGGAUUUAUUGGGCGUAAAGAGUUCGUAGGCGGUUUGGUAAGUCUGAUGUUAAAGACCGAGGCUCAACUUCGGGACCGCAUUGGAUACUGCCAGACUGGAGUGUGGUAGAGGCUAGUGGAAUUCCUAGUGUAGCGGUGAAAUGCGUAGAUAUUAGGAAGAACACCAGUGGCGUAGGCGACUAGCUGGGCCAUAACUGACGCUGAGGAACGAAAGCCAGGGGAGCAAAUGGG